This 497-nucleotide ribosomal RNA is filed under the name uncultured bacterium. RNAcentral's name for it is "partial 16S ribosomal RNA". It matches the Rfam family "Bacterial small subunit ribosomal RNA", at positions 28 to 507 of the family's 1533-position model. The record is from RNAcentral.
GAUGAACGCUGGCGGCGUGCCUAAUACAUGCAAGUCGAGCGAACAGACGAGGAGCUUGCUCCUCUGACGUUAGCGGCGGACGGGUGAGUAACACGUGGAUAACCUACCUAUAAGACUGGGAUAACUUCGGGAAACCGGAGCUAAUACCGGAUAAUAUAUUGAACCGCAUGGUUCAAUAGUGAAAGACGGUUUUGCUGUCACUUAUAGAUGGAUCCGCGCCGCAUUAGCUAUUUGGUAAGGUAACGGCUUACCAAGGCAACGAUGCGUAGCCGACCUGAGAGGGUGAUCGGCCACACUGGAACUGAGACACGGUCCAGACUCCUACGGGAGGCAGCAGUAGGGAAUCUUCCGCAAUGGGCGAAAGCCUGACGGAGCAACGCCGCGUGAGUGAUGAAGGUCUUCGGAUCGUAAAACUCUGUUAUUCGGGAAGAACAAAUGUGUAAGUAACUAUGCACGUCUUGACGGUACCUAAUCAGAAAGCCACGGCUAACUCCGUG